AGGAAUUAAGCAAAAUUUAUAUUCACCUGUUUACCAAAAACAUGUCUUUUUGAUUUAUAAUUUAAAGUCUAUUCUGCCCAUUGAUUUAUUUUAAAAGGCUGCAGUAUUUCUGACUGUACAAAGGUAGCAUAAUCAAUAGUUUUUUAAUUGAAAACUAGAAUGAAAGAUUUAAUGAAAUAUAAACUGUCUUAAUUAUUAUUAUUGAAUUUUUAAUUUAAGUUAAAAUUCUUAGAUAUAAUUAAGGGACGAGAAGACCCUAUAGAAUUUAAUUAAUUAAGUUUAAUUAAUAAUUAAUAUUUUUAAUUUUAAAUUUAAUUAAUUUAGUUGGGAGGAUUUUUAAAUUUAAUUAACUUUAAUAUUUAUUUAUCAAUAAUUGUUGUAUUAAUAAAGAAUACUUAAAAUUUAAAGAAUAUUAGAUUAAAUUACCUUAGGGAUAACAGCGUAAUAUUUUUGGAAAGAUCAAAUUUAUAAAAAUGAUUGCGACCUCGAUGUUGAAUUAAGAUAAAUUUUAAGUGUAACAAUUUAAUUAUUAAGUCUGUUCGACUUUUAAAAUCUUACAUGAUUUGAGUUCAGAUCGGUGUGAGCCAGAUCGGUUUCUAUCUUUAAUAAAAUUAAAUAUUUUUGUACGAAAGGACU
This 636-nucleotide ribosomal RNA is filed under the name Hylaeus confusus. Its description in RNAcentral is "16S ribosomal RNA". The stretch from base 433 to 591 matches the Rfam family "Bacterial large subunit ribosomal RNA", at positions 2473 to 2632 of the family's 2925-position model. The record is from RNAcentral. Lineage: Eukaryota; Metazoa; Arthropoda; Insecta; Hymenoptera; Colletidae.